This 424-nucleotide ribosomal RNA is filed under the name uncultured bacterium. RNAcentral describes it as "partial 16S ribosomal RNA". It matches the Rfam family "Bacterial small subunit ribosomal RNA", at positions 359 to 775 of the family's 1533-position model. The record is from RNAcentral.
GAAUAUUGGACAAUGGGCGAAAGCCUGAUCCAGCCAUGCCGCGUGUGUGAAGAAGGUCUUCGGAUUGUAAAGCAUUUUAAGUGGGGAGGAAGGGAAGUAGGGGAAUACCUGGCCGUUUUGAGGUUACGGCCAGAAUAGGCACCGCAUACCUCUGUGCCGGCAGCCGCGGUAAUACAGAGGGUGCAAGCGUUAAUCGGAAUUACUGGGCGUAAAGCGCGCGUAGGUGGUUCGUUAAGUUGGAUGUGAAAUCCCCGGGCUCAACCUGGGAACUGCAUCCAAAACUGGCGAGCUAGAGUAGGGCAGAGGGUGGUGGAAUUUCCUGUGUAGCGGUGAAAUGCGUAGAUAUAGGAAGGAACACCAGUGGCGAAGGCGACCACCUGGGCUCAUACUGACACUGAGGUGCGAAAGCGUGGGGAGCAAACAG